Molecule: ribosomal RNA, 505 nt
Filed under: uncultured bacterium
Lineage: Bacteria
Description: bacterial SSU rRNA
Rfam family: Bacterial small subunit ribosomal RNA
Source: RNAcentral
GGCGUGCCUAAUACAUGCAAGUCGAACGGUCUUUCUAUGGAAGCUUGCUUCCACUGAGAAGAUAGUGGCGAACGGGUGAGUAACACGUGGGUAACCUGCCCAUAAGAGGGGGGAUAACAUCCGGAAACGGGUGCUAAUACCGCAUAGUUUUCUUGAUUGCAUGAUUGAGAAAGGAAAGACGGCCUUUGUGCUGUCGCUUAUGGAUGGACCCGCGGCGUAUUAGUUAGUUGGUGAGGUAACGGCUCACCAAGACGAUGAUACGUAGCCGACCUGAGAGGGUGAUCGGCCACAUUGGGACUGAGACACGGCCCAAACUCCUACGGGAGGCAGCAGUAGGGAAUCUUCCGCAAUGGACGAAAGUCUGACGGAGCAACGCCGCGUGAGUGAAAGAAGGUUUUCGGAUCGUAAAACUCUGUUGUCAGAGAAGAACAAGUUGGAGAGUAACUGCUCCAGCCUUGACGGUAUCUGACCAGAAAGCCACGGCUAACUACGUGCCAGCCGCCGC